Molecule: ribosomal RNA, 810 nt
Filed under: uncultured bacterium
Lineage: Bacteria
Description: bacterial SSU rRNA
Rfam family: Bacterial small subunit ribosomal RNA
Source: RNAcentral
UGACUNGAGUGCAGAAGGGGAGAGUGGAAUUCCAUGUGUAGCGGUGAAAUGCGUAGAUAUAUGGAGGAACACCAGUGGCGAAAGCGGCUCUCUGNUCUGUCACUGACGCUGAGGCUNGAAAGCGUGGGUAGCGAACAGGAUUAGAUACCCUGGUAGACCACGCCGUAAACGAUGAGUGCUAGGUGUUAGGCCCUUUCCGGGGCUUAGUGCCGGAGCUAACGCAAUAAGCACUCCGCCUGGGGAGUACGACCGCAAGGUUGAAACUCAAAGGAAUUGACGGGGGCCCGCACAAGCGGUGGAGCAUGUGGUUUAAUUCGAAGCAACGCGAAGAACCUUACCAGGUCUUGACAUCCCGAUGCUAUUCUUAGAGAUAGGAAGUUACUUCGGUACAUCGGAGACAGGUGGUGCAUGGUUGUCGUCAGCUCGUGUCGUGAGAUGUUGGGUUAAGUCCCGCAACGAGCGCAACCCUUAUUGUUAGUUGCCAUCAUUAAGUUGGGCACUCUAGCGAGACUGCCGGUAAUAAACCGGAGGAAGGUGGGGAUGACGUCAAAUCAUCAUGCCCCAUAUGACCUGGGCUACACACGUGCUACAAUGGUCGGUACAACGAGUUGCGAGCCGGUGACGGCAAGCUAAUCUCUGAAAGCCGAUCUCAGUUCGGAUUGGAGGCUGCAACUCGCCUCCAUGAAGUCGGAAUCGCUAGUAAUCGCGGAUCAGCACGCCGCGGUGAAUACGUUCCCGGGCCUUGUACACACCGCCCGUCACACCACGAGAGUUUGUAACACCCGAAGUCGGUGAGGUANCCUUUUAGGG